Molecule: ribosomal RNA, 301 nt
Filed under: uncultured bacterium
Lineage: Bacteria
Description: partial 16S ribosomal RNA
Rfam family: Bacterial small subunit ribosomal RNA
Source: RNAcentral
CAGCCGCCGCGGUAAUACCGAGGGUGCGAGCGUUAAUCGGAUUUACUGGGCGUAAAGCGUGCGUAGGCGGCUUUUUAAGUCGGAUGUGAAAUCCCUGAGCUUAACUUAGGAAUUGCAUUCGAUACUGGGAAGCUAAAGUAUGGGAGAGGAUGGUAGAAUUCCAGGUGUAGCGGUGAAAUGCGUAGAGAUCUGGAGGAAUACCGAUGGCGAAGGCAGCCAUCUGGCCUAAUACUGACGCUGAGGUACGAAAGCAUGGGGAGCAAACAGGAUUAGAUACCCGCGUAGUCCCUGUCUCUUAUAC